RNAcentral lists this ribosomal RNA (789 nucleotides) under Triticum aestivum (bread wheat). RNAcentral describes it as "partial small subunit ribosomal RNA". Lineage: Eukaryota; Viridiplantae; Streptophyta; Magnoliopsida; Poales; Poaceae. The record is from RNAcentral.
AUGGACGAUUUGCCGCACUGCACCUGCGAGAAGACCCAGUGCCUCCAGCGCUACUGCCAUUGCUUCGAGGCCUCGGUGUUCUGCGACGAGGGGUGCUCCUGCCAGGGUUGCCGCAACACAGAGGACAACUCCGAUGAGGUGGAUGAGCGCGCAGAGUGCAUCAUGAAGAAGAAACCCGACGCCUUCAAGCCCAAGAUCAUCGCCGGCGAUGGGCCUGGGCUGCAACAGCAGCAGCAGCAAGCAGCAGGGGUGCACGUCAAGGGGUGCAACUGCCGCAAUUCUGAAUGCAAGAAGCUCUACUGUGAGUGCUUCAAGCACGGCGUCGGGUGCAGCGACAAGUGCCAGUGCACAGGGUGCGGCAACACCUUCGGAGUGAAAGGCGCGGCUCAACAAGCACAUAGUGACAGUCCUGAAGGAACAUCUGGCGGCUCCGGUGAAACACUUGCCCGUUCGAAUGGAUCGUCCGCAAUCAUCAACGACUACAUGGCUUCUCAGUUGACAGAAAUAAGAAUCAUGGAUGAUAUCCACAUCCCCGGCAAAUUGAGUCACAUGGAUGUUGAUCUUGGUCCACCAACUCAAGACCUGGGUGACGGCGGCCUCGAGGACAUCAUCUUCUAUUCAGACUUUCAGCAGAUUAUUGAUCCCCAAGCACAUCAGGGGUUGGCGCAGCAGGCUGAUGCAUCGCUGAGCAAUGACACAAACUCCCUACUAGAGCAGGGCCCUUCAAAAACUGACACUUGUGAUCUUCUCCACCAUGGUAGCCAGAUCAACAAACUCGGUGGAAUUUGA